GCCUGCCCUACUUUUUGUGUUGCAACUUUUUUCCCGCUUAUCUUCGUUUCUUAUUUCCUGCAAGCAAAGUUUCAUGACAGUCGUUCCACUUAGGCUUAAAGCAACCUUGAGUUGAAUACAGAGGAAAGCUGCACUGCAAGUUUUGCAACCCACUGGAAUCUACACAAGGGAGAAGUCAAGGGGGCAAAAAUGAGCCCAAAAGUUUAGUGGCUUGGCAGCAAGAGGGUUUGUUGCGGCACUCUGUCACGGCUGAGGUAGACUACGCUACAAAGCACGCCUCUGCUAGCUAGGAGGCCAUGCACAGCAGGUGCAGCUACGUGCAACUGUCCUGUGUAGAUUGGCAGUACGAAGAUGAAAUGUUUUUUCGGUCUUA
Dermacentor andersoni is the source of this 373-nucleotide long non-coding RNA. RefSeq lists it as uncharacterized. NCBI's taxonomy places the organism in Eukaryota, Metazoa, Arthropoda, Arachnida, Ixodida, Ixodidae. The record is from RefSeq and is a predicted model, not a curated record.